Molecule: long non-coding RNA, 216 nt
Filed under: Nicotiana benthamiana
Lineage: Eukaryota; Viridiplantae; Streptophyta; Magnoliopsida; Solanales; Solanaceae
Description: long non-coding RNA (NBEN_LNC000503)
Source: RNAcentral
ACCUUUGUUAGGAAAUCUUUUAGAAUAACCAUUGUAUCAGACUUAGAGACGAGUAAGAAAUCCAGGUAAACUUAGAACAGUCAUCUACAAUAUUAACAAAAAACCUUUUAAUGUCAUAUGUUGGUUCCCUAUAGGGCCCCCAUGCAUCACAAUGUAAUAGUUCAAAAACAACAUUAGAAGUAGUAGUACUCAUUUUGUAAGGUAACUUUGUUUCCU